GUUGUGUGGAUGCCUCAGUCUCGGCUCGCCUGGGCUGUAGGCAACACGGCCGACAUAGAAGCUCGCCGAGAAAAGAUAUAACCUCACGGUAUCUCUCGCGCGAGGUGGGCCCCCGGGAAAAUCCACAUAAACGUCGAAUAUGUUGUGAAUCGUGAAUAAGGGAAAUAAACGGCAGCCAUAUUCCUCGUGAAGAUCUGCCACGGUGUGUAUGAAAGUCUGAAAAGGAAACGAAAGCUAAAAAAGGUCACAAAGAAUCGUGGCGGCAGUUUCGUAAGAAAAAAACAUCUGAACUAAUAAGAAAGACAAACGUAUACAUACCAUAUGUAUAAAUAGGACGACUCGAGACUCGAGGACCGCUACCUGCCGUAAAUCGAUCAGGGUUGCAUAUACGAAAAUAAACACGGUGCAGUGGUGGGGAUUAAAGGAUAUCGUUCGUCGGGUUCCUUGUGUUGAUACGUGAAAUUAGGUAAAAAUAGAAAAAUAAUGAAAUUCCAUAUGAAGUAUAAAAGUAAGUGUUAUCUCUUUUUCUAAUGUGUUACGCAUUCCUGAAUCUCGUGUGUCCAUCUUGUAUCUCUCGAUCCUCACUUCGGUCUCUUCCCGCUUCGUCCUCGGCGAUAUCUCUCGCUUUCUCUCGCUCUCGUUGCUAGCGUGUAUUUAUUCGUGCUCCUACAAACAAACGUGAACCCGGUAGUAUCUGAAAAUAACAGCGUGCAAGCGCCAUUUUUACGAAAUCCCACGAGAGGGAAUGUCAGCUGAGAUAUACAAAAUUCAAGUGACGAGUGACGGAGAAGGGAAAUGAAAGGGUGACAGAAAGAGUGAGUGAGCGAGGGUGUGUUUGUACGAGAGAGAGAAAGGGAGAGGAAAGUGAGAAAAUAAAAUAACUCAAUUUCAACGAUCGCUUUCGUGUCGGUACGCACUUUCAGAAAGAGCUAGUGUUAUCGUCCUGAAGCAUCUUCACCCGCACCAGAUCGAUUUGCUUAACGAGACGAGUGCUUUCUAUUCAUAGACACUAAUUUUUUUUUCAUAUACCUCAUGUACAGUUUCAUUAAAGUUAACCUAGGAGAGACGAACGAUGCGGAUUUCUUGAAGAGCAUCGAAAAGCAGGGGCAUUGUGCUGGCAUAGGCGAGAAGGAGAGAAGAGGAUAAAGGUACAUCCGUACCGAGCCCGUCAGUGUGAACGUGGAAUAUACCGAUACGUUGUAGAGGAGAGAUGAAACUAAAAAUAAAAAAGUAUUAUUUUAAUUAAAUAUUGAAAAUCCUCGCGAGAGACAAAUCUGUGUUCACUUUGAGUAAUUCUCGAAUGAGCUUCGUUACCGUGAAUAACUGUAAGGUUGCCCAUUGCGAGGAGUAACGUCGACCAAUCUAUACGUACCUAUACUCGGUUCGUGAUAAGUCGAAAUAAAAUGCUGAUUAACGAACCAGAUGAGAAAUGGGAGCAUCGUGGUAUAACGAUGAACCUGACAACGUCGUUCGUCUGAAUGAUGUCAAUGAGUUUCUCUUUCUUUUGAACGUCAUCGAUCCGGACAAGGAUCAGCAUCUACUUCCUGUCUCCGAUUAAGCGUGAUAACGCGAACGGCCAAACCGAUACGGGAAACCUAUUUUCUUCCAUCGACCUCGUGAAGGAGAGUAUCCAGUGGAGAGCAGGUCGGAGCUGAGACAGUCUUGCGAAUUUGAUCACCACCUAGUGGCGUGUCGACGUACAGCAUCCGCGGAAGAGGAUCAUCCCUAGGGACAGUGUAUAGAGUCCUGGAUUACCAUAGUUAUCAACGAAGAAGACGUGCCAAGACUCUGUGCACUAUGGGCUGCGAAUUAGGAAAACUCGCGUCGUCCUCGUCGCAGAAUCAAGGGGGUCGAGAAAGUCCGCCACCCCCGGCUGCGACGGAUCCCCGGCUACCCCUCACUGCAAGACAAAAAUACACGAUAAUUGCAAGCUGGAAAGCUGUGGCAAGAGCAAUGGAACCUACCGGUGUUUACAUGUUCAUAAAAUUGUUCGAGGAAAACGCUGAACUUCUAGAUAUGUUCACAAAAUUCCGUGAUCUGAAGACAAAGGAGCAACAAACGAUGAGUAUGGAGCUUGCGGAACAUGCCACCACAGUUAUGACUACCCUGGAUGAGGGUAUAAAGGGCCUGGACGACAUGGACGUCUUCCUGACCUACUUGCACCAGGUCGGAGCAUCCCAUACAAAGAUACCAGGGUUCAAUAGGUCCUAUUUUUGGAAAAUCGAGGCACCCUUCCUGGAGGCUGUCAAGAGAACCCUGGAGGACAGAUACACGGAAAACGUUGAGAAUAUCUACAAACUCACUAUAAAGUUUAUCAUUGAAACUUUAAUAGACGGAUUCGACAAGGCACAGAAUGACAAGGCCAAGUCCUAGUUUUCUCCCACAGGGUGAACGAGCUACGGCUGCGAAUUAGCGAGGGUGGCUUGUUUCGCCUGGUGAAAAGCGUCGGAGGGUUGCUCGGCCCUCGAGUGAAGUCGAUAACUCUCGACCUUCCUGGUGUAUUAAUCCAUGCUGCAGCAGGUGUCGAGCAGGAUCCUCCGAGCGAUGCCAGGAACAAAGGAUUGAGAAAGGGCAUAGGAUGAAUCCUGAAAGCGUCCUAAGACCUACGACACUUGAGAAUUGGUUCCUUCCUUCCUUUCCUUAUGGCUGACUCCUCCAAUGAGGAGAUGUGCCAGUUGAGAAUUGGUUAAAAAUGUCAAACUCAAAACAAGAACACAGAAUAAAAUGGGAAAGGAGAAGAGAUCAGUGACUCGAACGUGUUUCAAUAUAAGAUCCGUCGGGAGCGCCACUUUCGCCAUGGCUUAACAAGAUACGCCACGAAACGACUAGGUGGCGCUAGUGGAGACAACAGUGUGCGCUGAUACUCGGGUUAUACCCAACAUUUUUAUAUUGAAAAGAACAUGCGAAAGAUCAUUCUCGCUCAAGAAGGAUCGACCGGGAUCCAGGGUGAUCGUGGUACUGAUCACGAAUCGUUUUCACGAUCGUCUCGUUCCACCAUGCGACGGUUUAUUUUUUUACGAGUUUCAUUCUAAAAGCCGCUUUUUAUAACAGCCCGUGCUAAACCGGCGCACGAGCCCUGACUAUACUUCGAGCCCGGCCACUCCAGGUGUCUCUGGCUUCGCCAUAUCGUCCUUCGUGUUUAUCGAACGAACAACACCGGUACCUAUCUACCAACCAACCUAGUACGUAUUUCAAAAGUAACGCGUACGUGGAUAACGAUCGUACGUUCAUCCAUAAAAAAGAAGUCGAAACACGCCAUGAAAGUUAUCGUAAUUUUUCAUGAUAUAACGACAAAGAGGUAACGCUAUGUUAAACGAUCAUCGUCAUCGCAAGAGUCACUUUGAAAAAAGCCCACCCGAUAUUUUUACUCGUUAUAAAACGCGAAUGGAUAUACUUUAGGAGUGUCCCUCUUCACAUGUCAAUUUCCUAGGAAGUCUUUAAGCUACGAUGCGAGCAUCCCUUUGAGAUUAUUAAAUAAAAAUUACCAAGGGAUGCUUUUAAGGGAUUAAGAAAUAAGAAAAAGCAAAAGAUACUUGGCCAUGACAUGGACCAGAGUACUUGUAGUGUAUUAAUUCUCGUACACGGAAAUAUUUCGUGUUCGCACAGAACGUGUGUCAGGGAUACUCGACACUGGUGAUAACAACACAGCCGGUGUGAGAGCACCCUUACAGAAAUUGAGAACGAGAGAUGUUGAUUGUUACUUAGACAAGGAAUGGACGCGUUGACAAAUUCGUCUUUCAAUACUGGGAAUCAAAGAAAGAGAAAGAAAAAUAAAAGCUAAAAGCUCCGUCUCCUCGUCGAACGUCGUUAUCGACAAGGUAGAAAGUUUUUUUUUCUUGUCUCUUUUAUUAUCUUUCUCAUUCAAUUCCCUCUACCAAGACGCAAACGCGUCUAUAAUAAAUGUUGCAUGAAAUGAAUAUUAAACGUCUCGGAUAAAGCUAUCGCAACGCGGAAAGAGCCGAUUCCCAAUUUCUAAAAUCAAUUCUUUUUUUCAAAUCCAAAACGUGGCAAACGUGCCACAUCAAUAGAGUCGCAAAGUGGAGAAAAAUAAAUCCCAAAUAUUAAGUCAUCUGCACUCCCUUUGAUAAUCGCACAAUGUGUCGGGAAAGUCAAAGCGCCGUCAUUAACGGCCAUUUUCGCAUUGCGAUUUUUGGCUUUAAAAGGAAUUUCAUACGAAAUGCACAAACGACCUGUACCUUCUACUCUCCGACAAACGGAUCUAUUUAACCGAAAGUCUUCAAGAAAACAAAAUAGCAGAUAUAUAUAUAUACACAUACAUACACACACACAUAUAUAUAUAUAUUGAUUGCUAGUGUAACUUGCAGUUAUGCGAAUGUUGCAUUAUCUGUUUGUUUGUUCUAUACAGGUCCAAAUGUAUUAUUGUAUCUGAUGGAAUAUUAUAUAACGAAAAUAUAUAA
RNA transcript from Cephus cinctus (wheat stem sawfly), 4418 nucleotides. It is a transcript of the gene named neuroglobin, with no coding region annotated. Lineage: Eukaryota; Metazoa; Arthropoda; Insecta; Hymenoptera; Cephidae. The record is from RefSeq and is a predicted model, not a curated record. The transcript is spliced from 5 exons.